This 117-nucleotide ribosomal RNA is filed under the name Candidatus Woesearchaeota archaeon. Lineage: Archaea; Nanobdellati; Candidatus Woesearchaeota. The record is from RNAcentral.
AUGGACGGCCAUAGUGCCCUGGUUCCACCUGAUCUCGUCUCGAUCUCAGAAGUUAAGAAGGGCAACGCCUUGGACUGUACUGUACUUAUGUAUGGGAACUCCUUGGUGCUGUUCAUC